GUACACGCCGUAAACGAUGGGCACUAGGUGUAGGAGGUAUUGACCCCUUCUGUGCCGAAGCUAACGCAUUAAGUGCCCCGCCUGGGGAGUACGGCCGCAAGGUUAAAACUCAAAGGAAUUGACGGGGGCCCGCACAAGCGGUGGAGCAUGUGGUUCAAUUCGACGCAACGCGAAGAACCUUACCUGGGCUUGACAUCCGCUGACCGUCCUAGAAAUAGGAUUUUCCCCGCAAGGGGACAGCGAGACAGGUGCUGCAUGGCUGUCGU
Molecule: ribosomal RNA, 266 nt
Filed under: uncultured bacterium
Lineage: Bacteria
Description: partial 16S ribosomal RNA
Rfam family: Bacterial small subunit ribosomal RNA
Source: RNAcentral